RNAcentral lists this long non-coding RNA (1423 nucleotides) under Phasianus colchicus (ring-necked pheasant). RNAcentral's name for it is "lncRNA (ENSPCLG00000013443.1)". The record is from RNAcentral. Lineage: Eukaryota; Metazoa; Chordata; Aves; Galliformes; Phasianidae.
UGCUCCCAGCCCCACACAUUUGUUCUCAGCCCCACACACUUGAGCUCAGCCCCACAGAUCUGUGCUCAGCCCCCCCAUUUUUGGCUCAGCCCCACACAUUUGCUUCCAGCCCCACACAUUUGAGCUCAGCCCCACAGAUUUGGUCCCAGCCCCACAGAUUUGAGCUCAGCCCCACAGAUUUGGUCCCAGCCCCACACAUUUGGUCCCAGCCCCACAGUUUUGGCUCAGCCCCACACAUUUGCUCCCAGCCCCACACAUUUGCUCCCAGCCCCCCAGAUUUGGUCCCAGCCCCACAUUUUUGGCUCAGCCCCACACAUUUGCUCCCAGCCCCACACAUUUGCUCCCAGCCCCACACAUUUCUCUCACCUCAUCUCCUCCCUCCGCCGCCGCUUUUGCUGCACCGCCUCCUCCUGCCUUUUCCUCCUCUCCGCCUUCAGCCUCAGUUUCUCCUCCCUCCUCUCCAGCAGCUCCCGAAGCUCCGCCUCCGAUUUCUGCACUGUGAGACACAGUGGGGCUUUUUACGCCCCUUCCAGGACCUGCCCAACCCGCCCUGCUGGGCUCUGCUCCUUAACGGUCCCUCCAAGAAGUUCCUGAGUACUUCUGUGAGCUUCCAGGACCUUUCUGACCCAACCCAACCAUUCUGUGACCUUCCAGGACCUUUCUAACCCACCCCAACCACUCGCUGGUUCGUUGACCUUCCAGGACCUGCCCAACCCACCCUGCUGGGCUCUGCUCCUUAACGGCCCCUCCAAGAAGUUCCCGAGUGCUUCUGUGAGCUUCCAGGACCUUUCUGACCCAACCCAACUACUCUGUGACCUUCCAGGACCCUUCCAACCCAACUCAACCCAACCCAACCCCCUUAUGGUUCUUUAACCUUCCAGGACCUGCCCAACCCGGUCCAACCACUCCACACAUCUAUGACCUUCAAGGACCCUUUCAACCCAACAAUUCUGCGGUUCUUUAACCUUCCAGGACCCAUCCAACUCAAUCCAACUACUCCACAACUCUAUGAUCUUCAAGGACCUUUCCAUCCCCACCAUCUUCUGCUUCUGUGACCUUCCAGGACCCUUUCAACCCAACCCAACCACUCGCUGGUUCGUUGACCUUCCAGGACCUGCCCAACCCGCCCUGCUGGGCUCUGCUCCUUAACGGCCCAUCCAAGAAGUUCCCGAAUGCUCCUGUGAGCUUCCAGGACCUUUCUGACCCAACCCAACCAUCCUGUGACCUUCCAGACCUUUCUAACCCAAGUCAUCCCAACCCAACCACUCCCCACAUCUAUGACCUUCAAGGACCCUUUCAGCCCCCAAAUUCUGUAGUUCUUUAGCCUUCCAGGACCUUUCCAGGACCCUCCCAAUCCAAUGCAAGCAUUCCGUGGUUCUUUAACCUUCCAGGACCCAUCCAACCCACCCCAACCACUCGCUGG